RNAcentral lists this transfer RNA (86 nucleotides) under Pangasius djambal. RNAcentral's name for it is "tRNA-Tyr". It matches the Rfam family "tRNA". Rfam says of the family: Transfer RNA (tRNA) molecules are approximately 80 nucleotides in length. Their secondary structure includes four short double-helical elements and three loops (D, anti-codon, and T loops). Further hydrogen bonds mediate the characteristic L-shaped molecular structure. tRNAs have two regions of fundamental functional importance: the anti-codon, which is responsible for specific mRNA codon recognition, and the 3' end, to which the tRNAs corresponding amino acid is attached (by aminoacyl-tRNA synthetases). tRNAs cope with the degeneracy of the genetic code in two manners: having more than one tRNA (with a specific anti-codon) for a particular amino acid; and 'wobble' base-pairing, i.e. permitting non-standard base-pairing at the 3rd anti-codon position. Lineage: Eukaryota; Metazoa; Chordata; Actinopteri; Siluriformes; Pangasiidae. The record is from RNAcentral.
CCUUCGAUAGCUCAGUUGGUAGAGCGGAGGACUGUAGCAGUUACACAGUGAUCCUUAGGUCGCUGGUUCGAAUCCGGCUCGAAGAA